Molecule: non-coding RNA, 54 nt
Organism: Salmo salar (Atlantic salmon)
Lineage: Eukaryota; Metazoa; Chordata; Actinopteri; Salmoniformes; Salmonidae
Source: Rfam
AAUGCACCAAUUUGUAAGUCGCUCUGGAUAAGAGCGUCUGCUAAAUGACGUAGA